UGGGGAAUUUUGGACAAUGGGCGAAAGCCUGAUCCAGCAAUGCCGCGUGUGUGAAGAAGGCCUUCGGGUUGUAAAGCACUUUUGUCCGGAAAGAAAUCCUUGGCUCUAAUACAGUCGGGGGAUGACGGUACCGGAAGAAUAAGCACCGGCUAACUACGUGCCAGCAGCCGCGGUAAUACGUAGGGUGCAAGCGUUAAUCGGAAUUACUGGGCGUAAAGCGUGCGCAGGCGGUUUGCUAAGACCGAUGUGAAAUCCCCGGGCUCAACCUGGGAACUGCAUUGGUGACUGGCAGGCUAGAGUAUGGCAGAGGGGGGUAGAAUUCCACGUGUAGCAGUGAAAUGCGUAGAGAUGUGGAGGAAUACCGAUGGCGAAGGCAGCCCCCUGGGCCAAUACUGACGCUCAUGCACGAAAGCGUGGGGAGCAAACAGGAUUAGAUACCCUGGUAGUCCACGCCCUAAACGAUGUCAACUAGUUGUUGGGGAUUCAUUUCCUUAGUAACGUAGCUAACGCGUGAAGUUGACCGCCUGGGGAGUACGAUCGCAAGAUUAAAACUCAAAGGAAUUGACGGGGUCAUAGCUGUUUCCU
This 585-nucleotide ribosomal RNA is filed under the name uncultured bacterium. RNAcentral describes it as "partial 16S ribosomal RNA". It matches the Rfam family "Bacterial small subunit ribosomal RNA", at positions 355 to 1375 of the family's 1533-position model. The record is from RNAcentral.